AGGGUUCGAUUCUGGCUCAGGAUGAACGCUAGCGACAGGCUUAACACAUGCAAGUCGAGGGGCAGCAUAGAAGUAGCAAUACUUGGUGGCGACCGGCGCACGGGUGAGUAACGCGUAUGCAACCUACCUAUCAGGAGGGGAAUAACCCGGCGAAAGUCGGACUAAUACCGCAUAAAACAGGGGCACCGCAUGGUGAUAUUUGUUAAAGAAAUUCGCUGAUAGAUGGGCAUGCGUUCCAUUAGGUAGUUGGUGAGGUAACGGCUCACCAAGCCGACGAUGGAUAGGGGAACUGAGAGGUUGGUCCCCCACACUGGUACUGAGACACGGACCAGACUCCUACGGGAGGCAGCAGUGAGGAAUAUUGGUCAAUGGGCGGGAGCCUGAACCAGCCAAGUCGCGUGAAAGGAAGAAGGAUCUAUGGUUCGUAAACUUCUUUUGCAGGGGAAUAAAGUGCAGGACGUGUCCUGUUUUGUAUGUACCCUGAGAAUAAGGAUCGGCUAACUCCGUGCCAGCAGCAGC
RNAcentral lists this ribosomal RNA (519 nucleotides) under uncultured bacterium. RNAcentral describes it as "bacterial SSU rRNA". It matches the Rfam family "Bacterial small subunit ribosomal RNA", at positions 8 to 518 of the family's 1533-position model. The record is from RNAcentral.